AGAGUUUGAUCCUGGCUCAGAUUGAACGCUGGCGGAAUGCUUUACACAUGCAAGUCGAACGGCAGCACGGGGGCAACCCUGGUGGCGAGUGGCGAACGGGUGAGUAAUACAUCGGAACGUGCCCAGUCGUGGGGGAUAACGUAGCGAAAGCUACGCUAAUACCGCAUACGAACUCUGGUUGAAAGCGGGGGAUCGCAAGACCUCGCGCGAUUGGAGCGGCCGAUGGCAGAUUAGGUAGUUGGUGGGGUAAAGGCUCACCAAGCCGACGAUCUGUAGCUGGUCUGAGAGGACGACCAGCCACACUGGGACUGAGACACGGCCCAGACUCCUACGGGAGGCAGCAGUGGGGAAUUUUGGACAAUGGGCGCAAGCCUGAUCCAGCCAUUCCGCGUGCAGGAUGAAGGCCCUCGGGUUGUAAACUGCUUUUGUACGGAACGAAAAGGCCUGGGUUAAUACCUCGGGCUCAUGACGUACC
This 475-nucleotide ribosomal RNA is filed under the name uncultured Comamonadaceae bacterium. RNAcentral's name for it is "bacterial SSU rRNA". It matches the Rfam family "Bacterial small subunit ribosomal RNA", at positions 8 to 479 of the family's 1533-position model. The record is from RNAcentral. Lineage: Bacteria; Pseudomonadati; Pseudomonadota; Betaproteobacteria; Burkholderiales; Comamonadaceae.